GCGUGGUGUGUAUGAAAACAAACGGGUCUACUUCCCUACUUUAGCAACAUAUUUAGUUUAUACAUGAGUCAUUAGGGUUACGUAAAUUAAUAAAAUUCCAGAAUGCCCUUGUGGGUGUCAUUUAGUGACAAAAAUGAAUUAACACAAGUAAACCCAAUAUAAAAUCAAACAUUUAAAAAUAAUCACAAUAAAAUCGAAAUAAAACUAUAGCUAAUCGUAUUUAUAUCUUUUAGACAUUUUGGUAAAAAAAAACAAAAAUAAAAUGAAUGAAAAUGAAUAAAAAUUGAGCGCAAAAGUGUCCGGAAAAAUAAAAUG
This 315-nucleotide long non-coding RNA is filed under the name Lathyrus oleraceus (garden pea). Its description in RNAcentral is "Pisum sativum (pea) long non-coding RNA (PSAT_LNC030067)". The record is from RNAcentral. Lineage: Eukaryota; Viridiplantae; Streptophyta; Magnoliopsida; Fabales; Fabaceae.